GAUCCUGGCUCAGAUUGAACGCUGGCGGCAUGCCUUACACAUGCAAGUCGAACGGCAGCACGGGAGCAAUCCUGGUGGCGAGUGGCGAACGGGUGAGUAAUAUAUCGGAACGUGCCCAGUCGUGGGGGAUAACGUAGCGAAAGCUACGCUAAUACCGCAUACGAUCUAUGGAUGAAAGCGGGGGAUCGCAAGACCUCGCGCGAUUGGAGCGGCCGAUAUCAGAUUAGGUUGUUGGUGGGGUAAAAGCCCACCAAGCCGACGAUCUGUAGCUGGUCUGAGAGGACGACCAGCCACACUGGGACUGAGACACGGCCCAGACUCCUACGGGAGGCAGCAGUGGGGAAUUUGGACAAUGGGCGAAAGCCUGAUCCAGCCAUGCCGCGUGAGUGAAGAAGGCCUUCGGGUUGUAAAGCUCUUUCGGUGGGGAAGAAAUUGCAUAGGCUAAUACCCUGUGUAGAUGACGGUACCUGGAGAAGAAGCACCGGCUAACUACGUG
Molecule: ribosomal RNA, 496 nt
Filed under: uncultured bacterium
Lineage: Bacteria
Description: bacterial SSU rRNA
Rfam family: Bacterial small subunit ribosomal RNA
Source: RNAcentral